GUAAUUGUCUGAAUAUUUAUUUCUCGGCAUUCACUGCAGAACAAGCUGCAAGUGGUGACUCGGACGUGAUCAAGUGGUGACUCGGACAUGAUCAAGUGGUGACUCCGACGUGAUUGCCUUGAAGUUAUGCAUGGAGUAGGAUGACUCACCAAUCUUCGGGGAAUACCGGACUAGAGUGGAUCCCCAUAAAAUGAGUGAAGCCAUAAUAUGAGUUAGAGACUACUGAAAAAGCCCCUCCUGAUGAUGAAGGACCUGUCAUUGGAGAAUCGACCAAAACUGACAGUGAUAACUUGGAAGGCACCUGACAUUACCUGGGGACAGCUAAAGAAACUGGACCAACAGGGAACUAUCUGGCUUGCAUCUAUGGGAGCCCCUGAAACUGCAGAGAACCAGUUUCUUAUGUAUCUGAUGGUAAUUGGGGGAGCUUCUGAGAAGGCAUCUGCAAAUGGCUCUGUGCUGCCACUCAACCAACUAUGACCAGGGAAGAAUGAUAGAAGCUUACUUUGCAUUGGAUAAUCCGCAUGUUCUAAGAAUUAAAGAAGGGGGAAAUGUGAGGGGUGUAUGACAAUACAUUCAAGCUUAUGUACAAGGCAUUUGA
RNAcentral lists this long non-coding RNA (598 nucleotides) under Homo sapiens (human). RNAcentral describes it as "HSALNT0257606". Lineage: Eukaryota; Metazoa; Chordata; Mammalia; Primates; Hominidae. The record is from RNAcentral.